UAAACUGUGGAGUACAUUUGAAAAUAAAAUUUUUAAUUAUGUUUGACAUCUCAGGCCCAGUGCUGUCAUCUCGUGUGAAAGUAACAUCUGUUUUGACAUCUCCAGUGGUAAAGACUUUAAAUCAGAUUCCACAUCCCUUAUCUGCUGGCUAAUCAGAAUGGAUGCCACAUUCUUCUUACCAACACAUUUUCAGAUCUGCUGCAGAAACACAUUCUGAUGUUGUCACAGACACAGACAUCAGUAAUUCAAAAUUCAGAACCACAGAAAUCUUCCUGGAGGUAAAAUCAAGAAAGAUUCUAAGAAACAGCUAUUCUGCAUCUGAAAGCACCAUGAUUUCUGAACUACCACAACCCUACUUCCUGUAAAUAAUAUUGUUCAUGCUUUC
RNAcentral lists this long non-coding RNA (385 nucleotides) under Ictidomys tridecemlineatus (thirteen-lined ground squirrel). Its description in RNAcentral is "lncRNA (ENSSTOG00000034378.1)". The record is from RNAcentral. Lineage: Eukaryota; Metazoa; Chordata; Mammalia; Rodentia; Sciuridae.